GCGAUUAGCUUUCCUUUUAAA
Molecule: unclassified non-coding RNA, 21 nt
Filed under: Dictyostelium discoideum
Lineage: Eukaryota; Evosea; Eumycetozoa; Dictyosteliales; Dictyosteliaceae
Source: RNAcentral